Non-coding RNA from Salvelinus sp. IW2-2015, 73 nucleotides. NCBI's taxonomy places the organism in Eukaryota, Metazoa, Chordata, Actinopteri, Salmoniformes, Salmonidae. The record is from the annotation of a RefSeq genome assembly.
GUCUGUGUGGUUCAGUUGGUAGAACGUGGCUCUUACAACGCCAGGGUUGUGGGUUCGAUUCCCACAGGGGACC